RNAcentral lists this ribosomal RNA (454 nucleotides) under uncultured Parabacteroides sp. RNAcentral describes it as "partial 16S ribosomal RNA". It matches the Rfam family "Bacterial small subunit ribosomal RNA", at positions 341 to 792 of the family's 1533-position model. Lineage: Bacteria; Pseudomonadati; Bacteroidota; Bacteroidia; Bacteroidales; Tannerellaceae. The record is from RNAcentral.
ACGGAAGGCAGCAGUGAGGAAUAUUGGUCAAUGGAGGCAACUCUGAACCAGCCAUCUCGCGUGAAGGAAUACGGCCCUACGGGUCUUAAACUUCUUUUAUAGGGGGAUAAAGUGAGCCACGAGUGGCUUUUUGUAGGUACCCUAUGAAUAAGCAUCGGCUAACUCCGUGCCAGCAGCCGCGGUAAUACGGAGGAUGCGAGCGUUAUCCGGAUUUAUUGGGUUUAAAGGGUGCGUAGGCGGGUGAUCAAGUCAGUGGUGAAAUGGUGCGGCUCAACCGUAGCAUUGCCGUUGAAACUGGUUGUCUUGAGUGCGAAUGAGGUGGGCGGAAUGUGUCAUGUAGCGGUGAAAUGCAUAGAUAUGACACAGAACACCGAUUGCGGAGGCAGCUCACUGGGACGCGACUGACGCUGAGGCACGAAAGUGCGGGGAUCGAACAGGAUUAGAUACCCUGGUA